GAUGAACGCUGGCGGCGCGCCUAAUACAUGCAAGUCGAGCGAACAGACGAGGAGCUUGCUCCUCUGACGUUAGCGGCGGACGGGUGAGUAACACGUGGAUAACCUACCUAUAAGACUGGGAUAACUUCGGGACACCGGAGCUAAUACCGGAUAAUAUAUUGAACCGCAUGGUUCAAUAGUGAAAGACGGUUUUGAUGUCACUUAUAGAUGGAUCCGCGCCGCAUUAGCUAGUUGGUAAGGUAACGGCUUACCAAGGCGACGAUGCGUAGCCGACCUGAGAGGGUGAUCGGCCACACUGGAACUUAGACACGGUCCAGACUCCUACGGGAGGCAGCAGUAGGGAAUCUUCCGCAAUGGGCGAAAGCCUGACGGAGCAACGCCGCGUGAGUGAUGAAGGUCUUCGGAUCGUAAAACUCUGUUAUUAGGGAAGAACAAAUGUGUAAGUAACUAUGCACGUCUUGACGGUACCUAAUCAGAAAGCCACGGCUAACUACGUG
RNAcentral lists this ribosomal RNA (497 nucleotides) under uncultured bacterium. Its description in RNAcentral is "partial 16S ribosomal RNA". It matches the Rfam family "Bacterial small subunit ribosomal RNA", at positions 28 to 507 of the family's 1533-position model. The record is from RNAcentral.